AUUCAAUUAGUAUAUAUUGUCAAGUAUAUUAAGCUUCCAACUUAAAGGAUUAUAAAAAUAAACUGAAUA
Molecule: transfer RNA, 69 nt
Filed under: Nesophrosyne makaihe
Lineage: Eukaryota; Metazoa; Arthropoda; Insecta; Hemiptera; Cicadellidae
Description: tRNA-Gly
Source: RNAcentral